AACGCACAUUGCGCCCACUAGUAUUCUGGUGGGCAUGCCUGUUCGAGCGUCAUUUCAACCCUUAAGCCCCUGUUGCUUAGCGUUAGGAGCCUACCGGAACUCUCUGGUAGCUCCCCAAAGUCAGUGGCGGAGCCGGUUCGCACUCCAGACGUAGUAGCUUUUACACGUCGCCUGUAGCGCGGGCCGGUCCCCUGCCGUAAAACACCCCAAUUUUUAUAGGUUGACCUCGGAUCAGGUAGGAAUACCCGCUGAACUUAA
This 258-nucleotide unclassified non-coding RNA is filed under the name Nemania sp. RNAcentral describes it as "partial contains 5.8S ribosomal RNA, internal transcribed spacer 2, and large subunit ribosomal RNA". Lineage: Eukaryota; Fungi; Ascomycota; Sordariomycetes; Xylariales; Xylariaceae. The record is from RNAcentral. RNAcentral also lists the same sequence under 2 other names.